This 492-nucleotide ribosomal RNA is filed under the name uncultured bacterium. Its description in RNAcentral is "partial 16S ribosomal RNA". It matches the Rfam family "Bacterial small subunit ribosomal RNA", at positions 29 to 507 of the family's 1533-position model. The record is from RNAcentral.
AGUGAACGCUGGCGGUAGGCCUAACACAUGCAAGUCGAACGGCAGCACAGUAAGAGCUUGCUCUUACGGGUGGCGAGUGGCGGACGGGUGAGGAAUACAUCGGAAUCUACUUUUUCGUGGGGGAUAACGUAGGGAAACUUACGCUAAUACCGCAUACGACCUACGGGUGAAAGCAGGGGAUCUUCGGACCUUGCGCGAUUGAAUGAGCCGAUGUCGGAUUAGCUAGUUGGCGGGGUAAAGGCCCACCAAGGCGACGAUCCGUAGCUGGUCUGAGAGGAUGUUCAGCCACACUGGGACUGAGACACGGUCCAGACUCCUACGGGAGGCAGCAGUGGGGAAUGUUGGACGAUGGGCGCAAGCCUGAUCCAGCCAUACCGCGUGGGUGAAGAAGGCCUUCGGGUUGUAAAGCCCUUUUGUUGGGAAAGAAAAGCAGCAGGUUAAUACCCCGCUGUUCUGACGGUACCCAAAGAAUAAGCACCGGCUAACUUCGUG